CGAUAACGAACGAGACCUUAACCUGCUAAAUAGCCCGUAUUGCUUUGGCAGUACGCUGGCUUCUUAGAGGGACUAUCGGCUCAAGCCGAUGGAAGUUUGAGGCAAUAACAGGUCUGUGAUGCCCUUAGAUGUUCUGGGCCGCACGCGCGCUACACUGACAGAGCCAGCGAGUACUCCCUUGGCCGGAAGGCCCGGGUAAUCUUGUUAAACUCUGUCGUGCUGGGGAUAGAGCAUUGCAAUCAUUGCUCUUCAACGAGGAAUCCCUAGUAAGCGCAAGUCAUCAGCUUGCGUUGAUUACGUCCCUGCCCUUUGUACACACCGCCCGUCGCUACUACCGAUUGAAUGGCU
This 348-nucleotide ribosomal RNA is filed under the name uncultured Chaetomium. RNAcentral's name for it is "SSU rRNA". It matches the Rfam family "Eukaryotic small subunit ribosomal RNA", at positions 1326 to 1698 of the family's 1831-position model. Lineage: Eukaryota; Fungi; Ascomycota; Sordariomycetes; Sordariales; Chaetomiaceae. The record is from RNAcentral.